GUAGUCUCGCACAGAUGCAUAUCAAUAAGCGGAGGAAAAGAAACUAACAAGGAUUCCCCUAGUAACGGCGAGUGAAGCGGGAAGAGCUCAAAUUUGAAAUCUUAAAGGGUUUCCCUUUACGAAUUGUAGUUUAAAGAAGUGUUUUCUGUCGAGGUUUUGGUAAAAGUUCUUUGGAAUAGGACAUCAUAGAGGGUGAGAAUCCCGUAUUUGACCUUUACUUUCAACUUUGUGAUACACUUUCAAAGAGUCGGAUUGUUUGGGAAUGCAGUCCAAAAUGGGUGGUAAAUUUCAUCUAAAGCUAAAUAUUGACGAGAGACCGAUAGCGAACAAGUACCGUGAGGGAAAGAUGAAAAGAACUUUGAAAAGAGAGUUAAACAGUACGUGAAAUUGUCAAAAGGGAAGCGUUUGACACCAGUGUUGUUUUUCUGAAAAUCAAUUAAAGAACUGUUUAUGCUAAGCUGUUUAGACUUUAUCAGCUAAUCUGUUUAGUUUUGAGCUUUUCUUUAAUGCACUUUUCAGUUAACAAGUCAACAUCAAUUUCUUUUGCUGUAAAAAAGCUUGAGGAAGGUGGCUUGAGAUUCGUCUUAAGUGUUUAUAGCCUCUUGCCUAUGCAGUCGGAGAGAUUGAGGUCUGCAGCGUAGAUCCUUCGGGGCUAAAUGCAUUUGUGCUAAGUUAUAGCAUUUUAUAGACAACUUGUUGACUAUGAUUUGUCUUGUAGCUUACUCGCUUAUGUUAUUUUACCUACGCUUAGGAUGUUGAAGACUCUACAGAGAU
This 774-nucleotide ribosomal RNA is filed under the name uncultured Neocallimastigales. RNAcentral describes it as "partial large subunit ribosomal RNA". It matches the Rfam family "Eukaryotic large subunit ribosomal RNA", at positions 24 to 624 of the family's 3401-position model. The record is from RNAcentral. Lineage: Eukaryota; Fungi; Neocallimastigomycota; Neocallimastigomycetes; Neocallimastigales.